This is a non-coding RNA of Malus domestica (apple), 2061 nucleotides long. Lineage: Eukaryota; Viridiplantae; Streptophyta; Magnoliopsida; Rosales; Rosaceae. The record is from RefSeq and is a predicted model, not a curated record.
CAACCCAAACACCUGCCAGAGAGAAGGGCACAGAGGGGAUUGAGAGAGAGCGAGCGAGCGCAGAGACAGGAAGGCCGGAAAUUGAGAAAGAAGGCCAUGCUUGCAGAGAGCGACUGAGAUUUGAAACCCAUGCCUGCCUCAGCUGAUUAAAAAGAUGCAUAUGGCCAUUCCAUGGCUGCUGCUGGAAAGAAUCAAAUGGAAAGUUAAAAAAAUAUUUUGUUCCCAACCCCAAGAUCAAGUUUGAUUGGCCAAGACAGCUUGGUCCGACGGAUCCUGAGAGGACGAUCCGGAGAGCAAUCGAACAUGCAAAGAUACCAUGUCGAGAAUGAUGCUUGGAUCUAGGCCCGCACCACCCCGUUUGGUCAACCUGCAGAUGUGCACUUGCCUAUUGACGGAAAUCGAAACAGCCGAGUUCAUUUGUGAUUCCUCUUCUGAAGUGGCAUCCACAAUAUAGUGCUUACGUACCUGAAAAACACAUGUACAUGAUUCAGUACAGGGCAAAAAAGCAUUUGCAAUUCGCUAAGGGACAGAAGAGAUGGUUAAAUUUUGUCACCUUUGUUAAUGUAACUAUGACAGGGACCUUAGAUGCGUCAAAUUGCAGAAAUUCCUCAUCGCUUACAUCAACCUCUGGUUGCUCAUCGCCUGAUGCACCAGCUGCAACAUUUACUCUUGGGAUGCCUGUAUCGCUCAAAGCGGCCUUUGGGAACAUCAGUUUCUUUUCCUUUCGUUUUUUCACUUUAUUUGGAAACAACUACGUGCACUUUAACUCUUAUCAAUUGCCACCACCUCUCAUCGGGGACGCAGGCAGAAGCCCUGCUAACCUGGAAGAACAGCUUCGACUUCGGUGAUUGACCUUCUUCUCUCGAUUCAUGGUCCCUCACCAACCUCAACAACCUCUGCAACUGGACUGCCAUUGUUUGUGACUGGCGACCGCAAUACCAAAACAGUUUCCAAAAUAGAUAACGAACAAUUUUAAGUCUUACUUUUAUUUGAGCAGCCAAAUUUUGAGUAGAGUUGACGGGAGGGGUUCCAGGUGGACAGAGUGGGGUUUGGGUGCGGGAUUACAGGGAGAGAUGGUGAGAGGGUGGGUGCGGUCAUGAUCGAUUUGAAAGGUGGGAUGGUGAGAGGGUGGGUACGGUCAUGAUCGAUUUGAACGGUGGGGGUUGGGGGUUGGGGGGGGGGGUGGUUGGGGGGUGGUUGAGGGGAUGGAGAGAGAGAGGUGUAGGUUGAGGUGCGGGUGUAGGGUUGGUCAUUUCCACACCAAAAAACAUCAUCCUCUUUUCAGUAAAUAGAAUUAGUACUAGCUGAACAGAGUUCCUCUCUGCAACUCCUCCUCCAUUACUGCGUUCGAAUUUUCGACAAUGCUGAUUGCUUUCCUCGCUUUUUAUCCAUACCGUUUGGUUCAAAGAAUGAAAACACGCAUUCCUACUUUGCGAACUCUGUUUCGUUAUCUCUUCAAUCCCUGCUUUGCAAUCUCCGUUGUUCACCCCGCCUUCUCAUCUCCGUUGGUAUUUCCACCAACCAGUGAAGUGUCCGGAGUUUGAACAUGAAAUGCCCAGGAGGCCGCCCAGUGCAAGAGGGAAUCCAACAGCUGUAGACUCUGAUUUACUGGCUUCAAAAUGGAGAAGUUAUUUCUUGGUUCACUUCCGUUGCGUAAACCAACUUCUCAGUUCAGUUCUCAGAUAUGAGGUUUCUCAGCUACCUCUUUUAUGUAAUGAAACAUUUGAAUAGUACUCGCAGAGAUAUCCCAUUAAUUAGGUUAGUUUUUGUUUAAUUGGGAUUCUUAAAUUUGAUAUUAGGGAUUUUAAUUUGAUUGGGUUUUAGAUUGCAUUGUACACUGUUUCUGGUAUCUUUAGCAAAAUAGGAUCUUUUUCUGGGGAUUCUAGAAGUUUAGUUGAACGCUAAUAUUAAAUUUCUAACCCUUGUGGUGCCUCUCUCUAUUUGAGAUUGAGUUGGUGCCUCUCUCUAGUUGAACGCUAAUAUUAAAUUUCUAACCCCUGUGGACAAUGAGCAAUUCGGAGAUUUAUCGCAAUGCAAUUUAUCAUUUCCACGGACCACCUA